Molecule: long non-coding RNA, 1865 nt
Filed under: Mus musculus (house mouse)
Lineage: Eukaryota; Metazoa; Chordata; Mammalia; Rodentia; Muridae
Description: long non-coding RNA chr16:77773703-77775568
Source: RNAcentral
ACAGCUACUGCUGCUUACCCAACUUUGUGAAAAUGUGUAUUCUAUCUUAUAAUUCACACAUAGUCUCACGCUUUACUGGGAGGUCACUAGUUUUCAGCUAGACUGGCAGCCAGCAACAUCCAGUGAUCCUACUUUCUUGAAGCCCUCUGCCAGAGCUGGAGUUAUAUACUUGCAGCCAUGCCUAGGAUUUUUAAAAAAUUCCUUUAUAUUUUUGAGAUUAUAGGUACAUCAUUUUCCCCUUCUCUUUCCUCUCUUGAAACUCUCCCUUAUACCUCUCUACCUAUCCUCUUUGAAAUUCAUGACCUCCUUUUCACUAAUUGUUACAAAAGGUCAGUUCAUCUGAACUCAGAGUCCCACACUUGUGCAACCAGUGUGUUACUUGUUAUACACUGAGCCAGCUCCCCAGCAUACAGGCAUUUCUUGAAUGGCUACUAUGUAUCAGGUAUGGAUUAGGCUAAACUUUGAAUGUAGACAACAAAACGAUCAGAAGGUAUACCGCUAAGAACAUCACAGAACGAUAAGAAAGGCAGCCACUGGAAAGACCGACUCAGCAGCAUGUCAGCAUUGCUCUGAGUAUGGCGUGGGCUUUGGAGGAAAGAUUGCAUCAUUUUGUGAAUCAGAGGGGAAGUGAACUUAUCUAGGUGGUUAUCUUUGGAUAUGGCAGAAAAUGUAAUAAUUAAUCUUAAAAUGAGUCAAACGGAGGAUCAUAUUUAUUCCAAGAAAAGGGAGUAAAGUGCAAAGAGGUGGAGGGUUGAGGGUCCCUAACCAGAGCAAGUUUAGCACAUUCAUUAGCUAAACAAAACAGCGUGGGACAGAGUGUUGAGAACCUAGGGAAAGGGAAGCCACACUCUUUCCUCCCACCAUCUCUGCCUUCCUUCCUUUUUUCCUUCCUCCCUUUCGUUGUUGUUAACGCUAUGAGACGCUAUGAGCAAACAUGAGGAUGGAUGGAAAGAUAAAGAAAUGAUGAUGCUUUAGUUUCAAACUAUCAUUAUAGAUGGAGUAUUUAUACAGAAGGAGGAAAGUAAUAGAUUCAGAGUAGUGUAGUGGGAAUGGAAAUAGAUGGGGUGGAAAAAAACAAUUACUGAUUGAUUAAAUAUGGGAAAAGAAAGGGAUGAACAGAAUGCUACCUGCUUUCUAGCUUGUAUCACUUCCUGCCUUAAUACUAUACACUGCCAUCCAAAGCAUGUAGGUAGACCAAACAGGGUUCUAAAAACUCCAUAAAGGUAUAUUCUCAUGGUAUAGAUGGGAUUGCACAGUAUCCAUAUGAGGAAACUUGUACACGGCAAACAAAGGCAACAUGGCUACGAUCACAGAGUCAACAAAUAAUCAAGUAGGAACUUGAAGCCAGGUCUCUCCCAGGAGUCUGCUAUCCUAACCCCCAAAGAUACUGACUAGUCUGAGUUUAGAUACACAUUCGCCUAGCCAUUCAGAUUAGAAUUCUCGGAUUACAGCUUCCUUACACGUGAUGUGUUCCGUAGAUAGUGGUUUGUAAGUAAGAAUUAUACAUGUCACUUCACCCCUUUCUGACAGAUGAUGGGCAUCAGUAAAGCUGUCUCGAACUUACAAAUAAAUGCCAUGAAUGGAAGGGUUGACUGUUUCAAAGCCAUUGAGAAAAUGAAGUCCAGAGAGAUGGGUCAGCUGUUAAAGGCUAGGCUCACAACCAAAAAUGAGAGACAUAAAUAUGCAUUCGAGUUACUUAUUUAUAUCAUGUUAGAGAAAAUUUACUAUAGAAGCUAACUCAUUACCUUCUCUGAGGGUCCAUCUUAAACAACUCUUACGUUUCUGGAGCACAGAAUAAAACAUAAGAUGGAUCAUUCAAUGAUAGACAAAACAUAAGACAGAUACGUUUGGAAAAAGAAAAGCUG